GUGGGGAAUCUUGCGCAAUGGGCGAAAGCCUGACGCAGCCAUGCCGCGUGAAUGAUGAAGGUCUUAGGAUUGUAAAAUUCUUUCACCGGGGACGAUAAUGACGGUACCCGGAGAAGAAGCCCCGGCUAACUUCGUGCCAGCAGCCGCGGUAAUACGAAGGGGGCUAGCGUUGCUCGGAAUUACUGGGCGUAAAGGGCGCGUAGGCGGACAUUUAAGUCAGGGGUGAAAUCCCAGAGCUCAACUCUGGAACUGCCUUUGAUACUGGGUGUCUUGAGUGUGAGAGAGGUAUGUGGAACUCCGAGUGUAGAGGUGAAAUUCGUAGAUAUUCGGAAGAACACCAGUGGCGAAGGCGACAUACUGGCUCAUUACUGACGCUGAGGCGCGAAAGCGUGGGGAGCAAACAGGAUUAGAUACCCUUGUAGUCC
This 425-nucleotide ribosomal RNA is filed under the name uncultured bacterium. Its description in RNAcentral is "bacterial SSU rRNA". It matches the Rfam family "Bacterial small subunit ribosomal RNA", at positions 354 to 796 of the family's 1533-position model. The record is from RNAcentral.